RNAcentral lists this ribosomal RNA (824 nucleotides) under uncultured archaeon. RNAcentral describes it as "bacterial SSU rRNA". It matches the Rfam family "Archaeal small subunit ribosomal RNA", at positions 112 to 922 of the family's 1478-position model. The record is from RNAcentral.
CCCUUAGGACGUGGAUACCCCCGAGAAAUUGGGGUUAAUCCGCGAUAGAUGUAAUGUCCUGGAAUGGUAUUACGUCUAAAGGUAUUUCAUACAUGUUUGAAAUAUGCCUAAGGAUGGGGCUGCGGCCGAUCAGGCUGUUGGUGAGGUAAUGGCUCACCAAACCUUUGACCGGUACGGGCCAUGAGAGUGGUAGCCCGGAGAUGGACACUGAGACAAGGGUCCAGGCCCUAAGGGGCGCAGCAACCGCGAAACCUCCACAAUGCACUCACGUGCGAUGGGGCUAUCUCGAGUGCCACCUGAUGAAGGUGGCUUUUCCUUGGUCUUCAAAGCCUUGGGAAUAAGAGGGGGGCAAGACUGGUGUCAGCCGCCGCGGUAACACCAGCCCCUCGAGUGGUGGGGAUGAUUAUUUGGCCUAAAGCGUCCGUAGCCGGCCGUGAAAGUCUUCCGUUAAAUCCAGCGUCUCAAGCGUUGGACCGCGGGAGAUACUACAUGGCUAGAGAGUGGGAGAGGUCAGCGGUAUUCUGGGGGUAGGGGCGAAAUCCUUUGAUCCCCGGAGGACCACCAGUGGCGAAGGCUGCUGACUAGAACACGUCUGACGGUCAGGGACGAAAGCUGGGGUAGCGAACCGGAUUAGAUACCCGGGUAGUCCCAGCCGUAAACGAUGCAUGCUAGGUGUUGGGUUGGCCACGAGCCACCCCAGUGCCGCAGGGAAGCCGUUAAGCAUGCCGCCUGGGAAGUACGAUCGCAAGAUUGAAACUUAAAGGAAUUGGCGGGGGAGCACCACCGGGCGUGAAGCCUGCGGUUUAAUUGGAGUCAACGCCGGG